AGAGUUUGAUCCUGGCUCAGAAUGAACGCUGGCGGCGUGCUUAACACAUGCAAGUCGAACGAUGAAGCCCAGCUUGCUGGGUGGAUUAGUGGCGCACGGGUGAGUAAUAUAUAGAUAACGUGCCUCUUAGUCCGGGAUAGCCAUUGGAAACGAUGAUUAAUACCGGAUACUCCUUCUAACUCUAAUGUUAGUCGGGAAAGUUUUUCGCUAAGAGAUCGGUCUAUAUCCCAUCAGCUUGUUGGUAGUGUAAGAGACUACCAAGGCUAUGACGGGUAGCGGGUUUGAGAGGAUGAUCCGCCACACUGGUACUGAGACACGGACCAGACUCCUACGGGAGGCAGCAGUGAGGAAUAUUGCACAAUGGAGGAAACUCUGAUGCAGCAACGCCGCGUGGAGGAUGACGCAUUUCGGUGUGUAAACUCCUUUUAUAUGUCAAGAAAAUGACGGUAGCAUAUGAAUAAGCACCGGCUAACUCCGUGCCAGCAGCCGCGGUAAUACGGAGGGUGCAAGCGUUAUUCGGAAUCACUGGGCGUAAAGGACGCGUAGGCGGGUUGGAAAGUCAGAUGUGAAAUCCUACAGCUUAACUGUAGAACUGCAUUUGAAACUUCUAAUCUAGAGUAUGGGAGGGGGAGAUGGAAUUAGUGGUGUAGGGGUAAAAUCCGUAGAUAUCACUAGGAAUACCGAAA
RNAcentral lists this ribosomal RNA (686 nucleotides) under uncultured bacterium. RNAcentral's name for it is "bacterial SSU rRNA". It matches the Rfam family "Bacterial small subunit ribosomal RNA", at positions 8 to 714 of the family's 1533-position model. The record is from RNAcentral.